Molecule: ribosomal RNA, 521 nt
Filed under: Notomicrus punctulatus
Lineage: Eukaryota; Metazoa; Arthropoda; Insecta; Coleoptera; Noteridae
Description: partial large subunit ribosomal RNA
Rfam family: Bacterial large subunit ribosomal RNA (bases 391-521)
Source: RNAcentral
AACAUGGUCUUUUGAUUUUAAUUUAAGAUCUGACCUGCCCAAUGAAUUUUUAAUGGCCGCAGUAUAUUGACUGUGCAAAGGUAGCAUAAUAAUUAGUUUUUUAAUUGAAAGCUUGUAUGAAUGGUUGGACGAGAUAAAGUCUGUCUUUAUUUAAUUUAUUGUAGAAUUUAAUUUUUAAGUUAAAAAGCUUAAAUUUUUUUAAAAGACGAGAAGACCCUAUAAAGCUUAAUAUAAAAUUUUAAAUUUAAUUUUUUUGAAAAAUUACAUUAAUUUUAUUUUUUUUAUUUGAUUGGGGUAAUUUAAAGAUAAAAGUAAUUCUUUAUUAUUUAAAACAUUAAUUUAUGAAUUUAUGAUCCAUUAUUAUUGAUUAUAAGAUUAAGUUACUUUAGGGAUAACAGCGUAAUUUUUUUAAAGAGUUCAUAUCGAUAAAAGAGUUUGCGACCUCGAUGUUGGAUUAAAAAUUAUUUAGGGGGUAGAAUUUCUAAAAAUUGGUCUGUUCGACCAUUAAAUUUUUACGUGAU